Long non-coding RNA from Alligator mississippiensis (American alligator), 2725 nucleotides. RefSeq lists it as uncharacterized. Lineage: Eukaryota; Metazoa; Chordata; Crocodylia; Alligatoridae. The record is from RefSeq and is a predicted model, not a curated record. The transcript has 3 exons.
CACAAAUUAAGUCUAAUUUGGGUAAUCCAAGCUCAUUAUGAUCUGUUGACAAGAACAGAACAUUUAUUGUUCCAAGCAGUGUUUCUCAUCAUGAUUUUAAAAAAAAGAGAGAAACCAGAAGUGGGCUGGCUAGUAAAUUGAUUACCACUUCUCAUUAGAAGCCCGACAAGGACAGAAGACAGGGUCCGAUCAAGCAUCCUCUGAAGUUUAUGCAAAGACUCAAAUGGACUAGAAAGUACAGGAUCUUAUCUGUUCUUUCCACAAGGUCCUGCUUCGUAUGUGACAGCAGAAGAGAGCUCCAGCUCAAUGUCAGUCCCACUGUGCCUCUGGCCUGGUUCUUUAUUCUCAUAUUCACUUUACUCUGUGCCAGAUCAAGGUGGUGAGACACACAGCUGCAUGCUGUGAGGCUGCAUGCUGUGAGGCAGCAGGCAGACCCAGCAAGUCUUAGUAAGAAGAACGGAGAUCAUCUUGGAUCUUCUGAAAUCCAAGCAUGCAGUACGAAAGGAAAGCUUUGCCUUUGCGGGGGAAGGGGAAGCAUCUCUUCUUCCCCUCCCUGCUAAGUUUGGAUAGUGGUGAUGAUAGUGGAGGUGAUUUUAAAUGGGUGAUAUGAAGUCAAUUCUCCAUUCACCUCCCUGACAAAUCUUGAGAGCAACAAGUUGGCUGUUGCCCCUUUGCCACCACCAAAGGUAACAGCAGGGUACAUUAGUUUGAUGUUUCUUCUGAAAUGAUUGGCAGCAUUGACCUUAAACUGUUAACCAUUAUGCUUCUGGGUUAACAAAACUUUGGGAUGAACAGGAACAGUUCUCACUUGAUUCAGAGCUAUUAUUUUAGGUUCUCAACUUCCUUAGAUACAAGACAACCCCUUGACAAAACACCAGCUCUUAGUUUUCACUAAACACUACAGAAAAGCAAUAGAGCAGCUCUGCUGCAAGUAACUUAGAAAGGCCACAACAAGUCAACAUGGUUUUAACACUGUGGAAUCCAAUUUGAAAUCUCUGGUUUUAUCUUGCGAAACACAUUUGCACAUCUAACAGUAGCAUUGUGUGGCACCUCACAACAUCCUUGAAAGGAUCUCAGGGCACCCUGGUUGGGAAUCAUUGGUUUAGGAUACCAGUACAUUCAGACAGACAUCAAAGAUCCGUUUAUACUUAUCUUCAUCAUCACAAGGGGUGGACAUUAAACAUUACGGUCUGUUGGUCAAGCAUGCAAGUUCAAUAAGCAAGGCGUUUGGGUAACGAAAGAACUUCAUUAGGUACUGGGCACUCUACAGUAUUGUUGAGAGCAGCAUCUGGACAGAAGCUGGACUCUCAAGUGUAUCUACUUGCAAGAGGCAGUGUUGUGGUUAUUAGGCUGGAACAUUGACCAAUCAAUUUGCUAAUUUCUGUAUGUAACCACAGUAAUGUACCCACAGAACACUCCCACAGUCCAGAAAUGGUAUCCUCAUCAGAGAGGGAUGGGGAAAUGUAUGCAAGACAGGUUAAGUGACUUGUGCAAGAAGCUAGUAAGAGCCACCCUUAGAGUAAGGUACAGCCCCUGGGAGUUCCUGCUCCCUAGUCCUGUGCUUUGCUUCGGUUAUACUUGUGUAAAGGCAGAGUGACUUUGUGAAAGUCAGCCAAACAACUCUUUGCUCAUGGUCCUGUAGAUGCAAUCAGAGCCUAGCCUCACCCUGAUCUUUGAAGCUGCUUUUUCUGUGGGAGUGGGCAGGUUUAAGGAGUUUGCUGUUCAAUAACACCCACACCUGGGUAAAACUUCCAGGCAGGUCUGCAAAACAGUAGAUAAUUGAGUAAAAGCUCCAGCAGUAAUUAAUCAAGCUGGAGCAGUUCCUGCAUAAAGCAAUUUGCCAGAAGAUUCAGUUAUUGAUUCCCCAGGAAAUACCCUGCCUGUGGCUAUUUCACCUAAUUGGGUUAAUAUGUGGUUCCAGUCACUCUUGCACAUGGGAUAAAUAUAUGGCAUAUUUCUUUUGCAGCACUGAGAAUAGAUUCCCCAAGUCAGGAUCUGCUGUGUUGAAUACAAUACUUGUUGCCAAAAAGCCAGAAGCAUAUUGGGUUUUAUUAACAGGACUCACCUGCAAAUCAAGGGAAGAAAUUCUUCUGCUCUAUUCAGCACUGGUGAGGCCUCACCUGGAGUACUGUGUUCAGUUUUGGGCCCCACACUUCCAGAAGGAUGUGGACAGAUUGGAAAGAGUCCAGCACAAAGCAAUAGAAAAUGAUUAGGGGCUUCAGAGGUGGUGCCCGGGGGAACAGAGCCUCACCUAUUUUCUGCUGGUCCCUCCGGGCCUGGCCUGCUGCCCCCUGACCAUGCGAGUGGCCCUCCUCUGGACCCUCUCAAUGCUAGCCACAUCCCUCUUGAAGUGCGGCGCCCAGCACUGGAUGCAGUACUCCAACUGCGGCCUGACCAGCACCGCAUAGAGGGGAAGGAUCACCUCCCUGGACCUGCUUGUGAUGCAUGUGUAGAUGCACAAUAAGGUGCAGUUAGCCUUACUGACCGGUUCCUUGCAUUGGCGGCUAAUGUCCAUCCUGGAGUCAACAAUAACUCCAAGAUCCCUUACAGCCACUGUGUUGUUGAGUUAAAUCAAUGUUAAAAAAAUUUAUAAGACAUAACUCUACAGUACAUAGUAUUUUUCCCCCAAUACUUGUAUUUUCUGAGUGGUUGCAGAAUAUUAAUGAGCCAGGCAUACUCCUUAUAUACCUAUUCCAUUUCUAGCUAAAUGUCUAUGUUUGAGUCA